Molecule: long non-coding RNA, 1082 nt
Organism: Peromyscus eremicus (cactus mouse)
Lineage: Eukaryota; Metazoa; Chordata; Mammalia; Rodentia; Cricetidae
Exons: 2
Source: RefSeq, a predicted model, not a curated record
CCGCGAUGCCCUGUAGUUCUCAAACUCUGCCAGGAGAUGGCGGUAGGAACCAACGACAAAAUCCUUUUGCUCGUCUCCUCAGCUUCUCAUUGUCCUGUGGACAUUUCCUGCAUCUAAUCUGAUGCUUAUGAAAACUAUUUCCUCCUUUCAAAAGCACAAGCCCAAACAGAAACUAACCUCACCCUGCAGAUCAAGGAUGUUUGUGCCUUUCCAGUUGUCGAACCCUCCCAGCUACGGCUUAACUGUCAAGUAUUUUCCCAGCAGCUACAUGUCCGUUCCAGGAAGUAAAGUGAGAAACGACUGUGGACUUCCUCUGGGCUGGUGGGAAGGUGUGUCUAGGGGCACCACCCAUCCAGCCACUACACAGAUCCCAACUCCGGGAAGCGGAGCGGGUGGAAGGAUGCUGCGGUGAAUAAUAACCAAUUCUGUGAGAGUGACUUUCCCAAGACCUGAGCUGUUCAACCCACAUGCUUGCCCAGAGGCAGCACCCAGCUUUCUUGUGCACACAAACACAGGUCUCAUAGCGUCCUUCUGGGAGAUGGAGUUUAAAUGGCUGUGACCAACUGAAACACUUCCAAACAGCUCCACAGCUGCGGGGCAACUCAGAUAGGGAAGGUCUGGAGAAGUCACGGAAGGAAGCAGCUGGAGCACCAGAGGGCCUUGGCUUUGGGAUUUGGAAAAGCAGUCGAAGCUCUGGAAACUCCAUUUCCUCAUUUCCUUGCGUGUUAAUUAGAGAUGGCAGUCCUGACUGGCAAACUGUCGGGAGGCAGAGUAAACUGGCCACCAAAUGAUGUUCAAGCCAGAUAGUUAGAAGACAGAUAAUUGUACUUGUAAUUUUGAAAAUCAGACUUAGAAAAAAAAAUUGUCUAUAACAAUACAAAGAAUCCCUAUAUACAUUUUACAGGCUCUCUGAACAUUAAGUUACAACAAAAGCAUGCUGCAAUGAUCAAAAUCAGAAAAUAACAAUCUAGGACUAUUAUAUUACCUAACCCUCAGCCCUCAUUCAAAUUUUACUAAGUGUCCUUUUCUGGCUCAGGGUGAAACAAUGAAUCUAUUGUCUGGAUCUCUCCAGUCCUCUUGAA